This 257-nucleotide ribosomal RNA is filed under the name uncultured bacterium. RNAcentral describes it as "partial 16S ribosomal RNA". It matches the Rfam family "Bacterial small subunit ribosomal RNA", at positions 524 to 776 of the family's 1533-position model. The record is from RNAcentral.
GACGUAGGUGGCGAACGUUAUCCGGAAUUAUUGGGCGUAAAGGGUGCGUAGGCGGCAUGAUAAGUUAUUGGCGGCAAAUCGAGGCUCAACCUCGUGGAAACUGAUAAUACUGUCUUGCUUGAGUGCAGAAGAGGUUAACGGAACUCCAUGUGGAGCGGUAAAAUGUGUAGAUAUAUGGAAGAACAUCAAAUAACGGCGAAGGCAGUUAACUAUUCUGUUACUGACGUUGAGGCACGAAAGCGUGGGGAGCAAAAAGG